This 88-nucleotide transfer RNA is filed under the name Curvularia clavata. RNAcentral describes it as "tRNA-Glu". The record is from RNAcentral. Lineage: Eukaryota; Fungi; Ascomycota; Dothideomycetes; Pleosporales; Pleosporaceae.
UCCGGUAUGGUGUAUCGGCUAGCAUCCGUCGCUUUCAUUCCCAAUGUCAGCGCCCGACGAGAGCCGGGUUCGACUCCCGGUACCGGAA